RNAcentral lists this unclassified non-coding RNA (213 nucleotides) under Caenorhabditis elegans. Its description in RNAcentral is "H/ACA snoRNA". Lineage: Eukaryota; Metazoa; Nematoda; Chromadorea; Rhabditida; Rhabditidae. The record is from RNAcentral.
AAACGCACAAUUUAAGAACUUGUAAUGUCUGUGAUUUACAAUAUAGGCUGAAAAACGUUCUGUUUUGAAGCUAGUACUGUUUAUUUGCUGAUGGUUUUAUGAGUGUCAUAGUUGUGCGAUAUAGAUCAAGUAACGAAUCGUUUCAAAGUAUUUCGUAAUCCUAACACCACGCAAAGGUGCUGAUCUCGAUUUUUAAACGGUUGUCACACAAUU